GACGAACGCUGGCGGCGUGCCUAAUACAUGCAAGUCGAACGAACCGCGACUAGGUGCUUGCACUUGGUCACGGUGAGUGGCGAACGGGUGAGUAACACGUGGGUAACCUACCUCAUAGUGGGGAUAACAGUCGGAAACGACUGCUAAUACCGCAUAGGACAUAGGAUCACAUGAUCCAGUGAGGAAAGGUGGCGCAAGCUAUCGCUAAGAGAUGGACCCGCGGUGCAUUAGCUAGUUGGUAGGGUAAAGGCCUACCAAGGCGAUGAUGCAUAGCCGACCUGAGAGGGUGAUCGGCCACAUUGGGACUGAGACACGGCCCAAACUCCUACGGGAGGCAGCAGUAGGGAAUCUUCCGCAAUGGACGCAAGUCUGACGGAGCAACGCCGCGUGAGUGAAGAAGGUCUUCGGAUCGUAAAGCUCUGUUGUUAGAGAAGAACAGCGCAUAGAGUAACUGUUAUGCGUGUGACGGUAUCUAACCAGAAAGCCACGGCUAACUACGUG
RNAcentral lists this ribosomal RNA (501 nucleotides) under uncultured bacterium. Its description in RNAcentral is "partial 16S ribosomal RNA". It matches the Rfam family "Bacterial small subunit ribosomal RNA", at positions 28 to 507 of the family's 1533-position model. The record is from RNAcentral.